This is a long non-coding RNA of Styela clava, 2687 nucleotides long. RefSeq lists it as uncharacterized. The record is from RefSeq and is a predicted model, not a curated record. Lineage: Eukaryota; Metazoa; Chordata; Ascidiacea; Stolidobranchia; Styelidae.
UGCCGUGGAUGGGACAGUUAAAUUGAACUUUUAAUGCUUUCAUAGUAGAAUGAUGAAAGUAGAGAUAGUUGUAACUGUGUAAGUUAAUCUCAUGGUACCGGUACCCUAAGUGCGUUGUCAGGUCACGGUUCAUAAGGGUGAUACGGUACCAUACCGGUAAAAGUUAUAUUUAUCCCUGGCACCGGUAACGACAGCGAGAUGAGGUACCGUACUUGGUCUUUUGGCAUUUUUUUGUUAAACUUUCUUAGGUUGCCAUCUUUCAUUUACCAGUAUUCGUUAUCGAGUACCGGUACCGUACAGUACCUAUGGUAGAUACCGGUAAAAGUUACAUAUUUAUCCCUGGACACUGUAGGUACCGGUAGCGACAGAACGAGAUGAGGUACCGGUACGUUACCGUACUUGGUCUUUUGGCAUUUUAUGUUAAACUUUCUGAGGUUGCCAUCUCUCAUUUACCAGUAUUCGUUAUAGAGUACCGGUAUUCAGGUAUUGGUCCUUCAUCCCUGGCUAUGAUUUUUUAUAUUUACUUUAUUUGUCUAAGUGCAAACAUUUCCGCAGCCCAAAUCGCAAAUCCAACCCGUUGAACGACUUAAUCCAGUAAUCUGAAUAGUUGUACAUUUGAGAACCUUCUGUCUGAUGAAUUUCAACAAAUCUAAAUACAGAUCUCAAUUGGCUGAAAUCUAAAAUAUGUUUUAACAAUUGCCACAAUCAAACUGAAACUAAAAUUUGAUGUUUUUAGGUAAAAAAUAGCUCAAGGAUUAUUGUUUUCCAUUUUUGUUUUUGUAACACUUUAAAUAAAAUUUUGUUUUUAAAGUAUAACUUUUUAUGCCACACAUGUGAGAUGCGACAUGGCCCACCAGUCUAGGUGUGCAAAAUUUUUGCACGUGGUCCGAGAACUUUGCCCAACCCUGCUCUAGUUCAUAUUUUCAGCUUUGUUGAGAAAUAAAUUACCGGUACUGAUUUCUGAAUAAUAUUUUGUUUUAAAUUUCAAUAGAAUUAUAUUGGUUAUAUAUUAAUAUGAUUUAUUUUCAGUAUGUAUGCUAUGUAAGCUUACCCAGCCAACCUUAAUUAAGUGUUAUUAUGUUUUAAAGUGAAUUGGAAAGUAGACCGCUAGCAAAAAAGAUUUGGGCGACUGGGCGAAGCCCAUCUCUGUACAAUGACUGCCAAAAGUGCAUGCAACUGUGCAAUGCCCAGCGACUCUAAAAGCAUGAAGUAUUGUACGACACAUCUUUUACAAAUAUUUGGACAUAUUUUGUGUAAUAUUCAUUUUUUUCCGGUUAUUCUUAAUAAUUAUUACCAAUUAGAUAUUCUGUCAAGUGUCAAUAUUACCAUUGUAAGUUUAAUGAUAUAUACCAUUUUUAUAAUAGACCCUAUGACAAUGGACUGGAAAAUUCACCUGCUCCAAUUCCCUCUUUCACGCAAUCAUACACUGUGUCUUUUCAAGCAUCUCAAUGUUUCAAUGCGAAUAAGUCGCUUUUCUAGACCCAAAUUUUUGGCCUGAUCUUAGGGGGGUCGUCUUAUUAGGCGAGUAUGAUCAUUUUUAUUUUUGUGUCGCCUUAUUAUUGAAUCGAGACAAUAAAAUACUUUCGGCAAUAGCAUACCCCACGUCCUCAUCAGGUUAGUUUAAAUAAAUCGACAUUCUCGCGCUGUGAAUCUGGAAUUUCAAUGUUGUGAUUAUCAUAUUUGCAUUAUUAUAUAUGGAUUGAAUAUUACGCUACAAGAAAAAGUCAUUUAGAGGCUAUUUCAACCAAUGCGCAAACGCGGCGACGGCUCGAAAGGCAUUGCAUGGUAAUUCAAGAUUCCCAAAGUUGAUGCGAUUUUACUACCCCGACUUAUCGGCCGGUUAUAUGCAAAAACCCAUUUUUUCAGGCUUAAAAACAGGCCUCGUCUUAUUCGCUUGAAAAUACGGUAAUUAAUAUUAAUGAAAAAUUUAUAUUCUGGUAAGUAGUAUAGGCCAUUCGUUCACGUUUAUCAUCUGAAAGACAAUUAUGUACUAUACAUUGGGUAACACUAACUUGAUUUUCAGAGAUCAAGCCAUGCUCCAAUCCAGUCCAUGGAAAAAUUGUUGGGACAGGCGGUAGAAACUCUUAUGCUACAAGCUACAACUUUCCACUGAUUAUAGUGUGGACUCGGACAUACCGGAAUUGAUGAAAUUCAUUGUCAAUUCAUUGUCUGAUUACAUUUUGAUCCAGAAUACAUUCAAGGAUGAAAAAAUGGCUUAUAAGAUAUUUGUCAAGUCUCGGAGGUUGCUCCAAGAAAGACUGGUUUGGAGAAUCAUGAGCUCUGUUAUAACAAAUUUACUCGCCCGCUCUUUCAACUGUGCAGGACGCGGUGGAUAAGAAGGAGUGAGUGGGACGCCCUUAGUACCUGAAAGCUCUGGAUGAUCUGUCAACGAACUCCGAUUAAUUUUAUUACAUGUAUACAUAUUUGUAAAAUAAAGACAUUUUGUUAUCUUUUGUUUUUUAUUAUAUAAAUAAUGUUAGAUUAGUGGGAAAUUUCUAUGUAGUAUAGAUCAGUACGAUUGGUCUGUACAACACAUCGCCUAACUUGGCCCGACCAUAUGCCACGAUUGUAUUACAACGUGUCACCUACCUAGGCCCGGCCAUAUUUCACGAUUGUGUUACAACGUAUCGCCUACGUUGGCCCGACCGUUUGCCACGGUUGCAUUACAGCGAAUGGACCGACGUUGG